This 551-nucleotide long non-coding RNA is filed under the name Marmota monax (woodchuck). Lineage: Eukaryota; Metazoa; Chordata; Mammalia; Rodentia; Sciuridae. The record is from RNAcentral.
GUUCCUUUAUUUCUUAAGUUGUCUGGUUAUGUCAAAUAGUUUAAAAGGGCCUUAGGACAUAUUUUGUUAUGUGGAAGCUGUCUCCUUUCAAAUAUUUUUCCACAAAGCAAGUAUAGCUAGUUAUUCACGGUGGUGUUUGGGGAAUUUUGUUCAGAGUUUAUUUUGAAUCCCGUAUUUAUUUCUAUUUGUUCUGUAGGUGCUGAUGAGUUAAAAGAUAACUAUCAUCCCUGCCCUAUUUUGAUUAGGUCCUUGUUUAUUUUAAAGAGGUAUUUAUGGGAUAUAAAAUGGUUAGUUGAAAGCUAGCCAGUAAUGCUAAGACAAAUCAGUAGGAUUGUUUUUUUUUUUCAUGUGACGUAUUUGGAAAUCUACUUUUAUGGAUUCAGUGUGAGGCAGUUGCCUUGUGCAGUUUUUGUCAUAUGUUAAUAAAAUGUUGUAUUUGGCUACUUUAGCUUUGGGAUUCAUGUAUAAUGUACUUUAUGUUUAAUUUAGUGAUUUAUUUAUGUAUUUUGGUUAAUCCAGUAGUUACUUCAGUAUAUUCCAGUUGAACAACU